Sorex araneus (European shrew) is the source of this 92-nucleotide small nucleolar RNA. The record is from RefSeq and is a predicted model, not a curated record. NCBI's taxonomy places the organism in Eukaryota, Metazoa, Chordata, Mammalia, Eulipotyphla, Soricidae.
GGGCUCCCAUGAUGUCUAGCACUGGGCUCCUAGCAUCCCUGAGGACACCGUGCGCCCCCAGGACCUUUGACACCUGGGGGACUGAGGAGCUU